CCUCUCAGUUGUUUCUGGAUUAAGAGAUCUACCAUUUUAUUUUGAUGGGAGGGUGGACUUUGAUGAAACAGUUAGUUCUUUUUUCUAAGUUGUAUUCUCUGUCCUGUCUUUUUAUUUUUAGUCUAUUUGGUUCUGCCGUUUAAGUUUUUAUUAGUUUGUCCUUUUUUUUUUUUUUUUUUUUUUUACAUAAAUCGUAAUUCGGCCUUUUUGCCAAGUUGCUCAUCCUGCCUUUUUAUAUCUU
Molecule: long non-coding RNA, 241 nt
Filed under: Mytilus galloprovincialis (Mediterranean mussel)
Lineage: Eukaryota; Metazoa; Mollusca; Bivalvia; Mytilida; Mytilidae
Source: RNAcentral